UUUCUUCUUUUUUUCCCCCCGUGUUUCCAGAUCUGGGUAAUGCCCAGUCAGGUAGGAAUGUGGCGAAGUGGCCUGGACCUUUGUCUUGCUCAUGCUAACUUGGACCACGUGGUUCUUGGACUACAGGCCACAGAGAGCUGUGAGAAACUGUACCAGGUCUUAGUCUGUGACCCCACACUCUUCCUGGUUCCUGGGGGCCCUAGAGGGCUCCCUCUUUCAGUGCUGGAGGGGCCAUGUGUCUCCUGCUUCCCAAGGCUCAGUUGUCAUCCCCUUGGGCACCAGAGGAACCCAUUGUGUUUGGAGAUGCUGGACUGGGUCGCCAUGGGAAGCCCAGCCGUGCUGUAUGGGUCUGGAAGCCUUUUGCGACUGUUAAGAGCCAGGAUAGCCAGAAUCCCGCGUUCGUUUUUAGAAUCUUGCUACACGUAUUUUUAAAAACGGGAGUUAUACUCAAUUCCCCUGUACUUUAGCCUGCGUCUGUGUGGGUCCUCAUUUAGAAAGAAAAAAAAAA
Molecule: long non-coding RNA, 508 nt
Filed under: Rattus norvegicus (Norway rat)
Lineage: Eukaryota; Metazoa; Chordata; Mammalia; Rodentia; Muridae
Description: long non-coding RNA NONRATT005136
Source: RNAcentral